Molecule: ribosomal RNA, 506 nt
Filed under: uncultured bacterium
Lineage: Bacteria
Description: bacterial SSU rRNA
Rfam family: Bacterial small subunit ribosomal RNA
Source: RNAcentral
GAUCAUGGCUCAGGAUGAACGCUAGCUACAGGCUUAACACAUGCAAGUCGAGGGGAAACGACAUCGAAAGCUUGCUUUGAUGGGCGUCGACCGGCGCACGGGUGAGUAACGCGUAUCCAACCUGCCCACCACUUGGGGGAUAACCUUGCGAAAGUAAGACUAAUACCCAAUGAUAUCCCACGAAGGCAUCCGAAUGGGAUUAAAGAUUUAUCGGUGAUGGAUGGGGAUGCGUCCGAUUAGCUUGUUGGCGGGGUAACGGCCCACCAAGGCAACGAUCGGUAGGGGUUCUGAGAGGAAGGUCCCCCACAUUGGAACUGAGACACGGUCCAAACUCCUACGGGAGGCAGCAGUGAGGAAUAUUGGGUCAAUGGGCGGAAGCCUGAACCAGCCAUGCCGCGUGAAGGACUAAGGCCCUAUGGGUCGUAAACUUCUUUAGACGCAGAGCAAUAAGGGUCUCGUGAGAUCCGAUGAGAGUAUGCGUAGAAUAAGCAUCGGCUAACUCCGUG